UACAGAGGGUGCAAGCGUUAAUCGGAAUUACUGGGCGUAAAGCGCGCGUAGGCGGCUUGACAAGUCGAGUGUGAAAUCCCCGGGCUUAACCUGGGAGCGGCAUUCGAAACUGUCUUGCUAGAGUAUGGGAGAGGGAAGUGGAAUUUCAGGUGUAGCGGUGAAAUGCGUAGAUAUCUGAAGGAACAUCAGUGGCGAAAGCGGCUGGCUGGAUCGCAACUGACGCUGAGGAACGAAAGCUAGGGGAGCAAACAGG
RNAcentral lists this ribosomal RNA (253 nucleotides) under uncultured bacterium. RNAcentral's name for it is "partial 16S ribosomal RNA". It matches the Rfam family "Bacterial small subunit ribosomal RNA", at positions 524 to 776 of the family's 1533-position model. The record is from RNAcentral.